Molecule: ribosomal RNA, 384 nt
Filed under: uncultured bacterium
Lineage: Bacteria
Description: bacterial SSU rRNA
Rfam family: Bacterial small subunit ribosomal RNA
Source: RNAcentral
AUUGAACGCUGGCGGCAUGCCUUACACAUGCAAGUCGAACGGCAGCACGGGAGCAAUCCUGGUGGCGAGUGGCGAACGGGUGAGUAAUAUAUCGGAACGUGCCCAGUCGUGGGGGAUAACGUAGCGAAAGCUACGCUAAUACCGCAUACGAUCUAUGGAUGAAAGCGGGGGAUCGCAAGACCUCGCGCGAUUGGAGCGGCCGAUAUCAGAUUAGGUAGUUGGUGAGGUAAAGGCUCACCAAGCCGACGAUCUGUAGCUGGUCUGAGAGGACGACCAGCCACACUGGGACUGAGACACGGCCCAGACUCCUACGGGAGGCAGCAGUGGGGAAUUUUUGGACAAUGGGCGCAAGCCUGAUCCAGCAAUGCCGCUGCAGGAUGAAGG